UGAGUAACCUGCCCUGGACUUUGGGAUAACCCUCGGAAACGGGGGCUAAUACCGGAUAUGACGGCUCACCGCAUGGUGUGGUUGUGGAAAGUUUUUCGGUCUGGGAUGGGCUCGCGGCCUAUCAGCUUGUAGGCGGGGUGAUGGCCUACCAAGGCGACGACGGGUAGCCGGCCUGAGAGGGCGACCGGCCACACUGGGACUGAGACACGGCCCAGACUCCUACGGGAGGCA
This 231-nucleotide ribosomal RNA is filed under the name uncultured bacterium. RNAcentral describes it as "partial 16S ribosomal RNA". It matches the Rfam family "Bacterial small subunit ribosomal RNA", at positions 118 to 350 of the family's 1533-position model. The record is from RNAcentral.